GUGGGGAAUCUUGCGCAAUGGGCGAAAGCCUGACGCAACCAUGCCGCGUGAAUGAUGAAGGUCUUAGGAUUGUAAAAUUCUUUCACCGGGGACGAUAAUGACGGUACCCGGAGAAGAAGCUCCGGCUAACUUCGUGCCAGCAGCCGCGGUAAUACGAAGGGGGCUAGCGUUGCUCGGAAUUACUGGGCGUAAAGGGCGCGUAGGCGGACAGCUUAGUCAGAGGUGAAAGCCCAGGGCUCAACCUUGGAAUUGCCUUUGAUACUGGCUGUCUUGAGUUUGGGAGAGGUGAGUGGAACUCCGAGUGUAGAGGUGAAAUUCGUAGAUAUUCGGAAGAACACCAGUGGCGAAGGCGACUCACUGGCCCAAUACUGACGCUGAGGCGCGAAAGCGUGGGGAGCAAACAGGAUUAGAUACCCGUGUAGUCC
Molecule: ribosomal RNA, 425 nt
Filed under: uncultured bacterium
Lineage: Bacteria
Description: partial 16S ribosomal RNA
Rfam family: Bacterial small subunit ribosomal RNA
Source: RNAcentral